Molecule: ribosomal RNA, 454 nt
Filed under: uncultured bacterium
Lineage: Bacteria
Description: bacterial SSU rRNA
Rfam family: Bacterial small subunit ribosomal RNA
Source: RNAcentral
UACGGAAGGCAGCAGGGGGGAAUAUUGCACAAUGGGCGCAAGCCUGAUGCAGCCAUGCCGCGUGUAUGAAGAAGGCCUUCGGGUUGUAAAGUACUUUCAGUCGUGAGGAAGGUGUUAAGGUUAAUAACCUUAGCAAUUGACGUUAGCGACAGAAGAAGCACCGGCUAACUCCGUGCCAGCAGCCGCGGUAAUACGGAGGGUGCGAGCGUUAAUCGGAAUUACUGGGCGUAAAGGGCACGCAGGCGGUUAAUUAAGUUGGAUGUGAAAUCCCCGGGCUUAACCUGGGAAUGGCAUUCAAGACUGGUUAGCUAGAGUCUUGUAGAGGGGGUAGAAUUCCAUGUGUAGCGGUGAAAUGCGUAGAGAUGUGGAGGAAUACCGGUGGCGAAGGCGGGCCCCUGGACAAAGACUGACGCUCAUGUGCGAAAGCGUGGGGAGCAAACAGGGAUUAGAUACC